RNAcentral lists this ribosomal RNA (138 nucleotides) under uncultured bacterium. Its description in RNAcentral is "partial 16S ribosomal RNA". It matches the Rfam family "Bacterial small subunit ribosomal RNA", at positions 347 to 483 of the family's 1533-position model. The record is from RNAcentral.
GGCAGCAGUGAGGAAUAUUGGUCAAUGGACGAGAGUCUGAACCAGCCAAGUAGCGUGCAGGAUGACGGCCUUAUGGGUUGUAAACUGCUUUUAUAAGGGAAUAAAGUGAGCCUCGUGAGGCUUUUUGCAUUACCUAGA